GUUGGGUGCUGUGGUGCACACCUGUAAUCCCAGCAAUUUGGGAGGUUGAGACAGGAGGAUUAAAAGUUCAAAUCAGCCUCAGCAAUUUAGUGAGACCCUGUCUCAA
RNAcentral lists this small RNA (106 nucleotides) under Marmota monax (woodchuck). The record is from RNAcentral. Lineage: Eukaryota; Metazoa; Chordata; Mammalia; Rodentia; Sciuridae.